RNAcentral lists this ribosomal RNA (408 nucleotides) under uncultured bacterium. RNAcentral describes it as "bacterial SSU rRNA". It matches the Rfam family "Bacterial small subunit ribosomal RNA", at positions 28 to 431 of the family's 1533-position model. The record is from RNAcentral.
GACGAACGCUGGCGGCGUGCUUAAUACAUGCAAGUCGAGCGAGGCCCAUCCGGUGGCAACACCGGGGAAGGCCGAGCGGCGAACGGGUGAGUAACACGUGAGCAACCUGCCCCGAAGUCUGGAAUAACAUCGGGAAACCGGUGCUAAUACCGGAUCGCCCCACCUGACCGCAUGAUCGGGUGAGGAAAGAUUUAUCGCUUCGGGAGGGGCUCGCGGCCUAUCAGCUAGUUGGUGGGGUAACGGCCUACCAAGGCGUCGACGGGUAGCUGGUCUGAGAGGACGACCAGCCACACUGGGACUGAGACACGGCCCAGACUCCUACGGGAGGCAGCAGUAGGGAAUCUUGCGCAAUGGGCGGAAGCCUGACGCAGCAACGCCGCGUGGGGAUGACGGCCUCGGUUGUAACCC